GACAGAGGGUGCAAACGUUGUUCGGAAUUACUGGGCGUAAAGCGAGUGUAGGCGGUUUGGUAAGUCGGAUGUGAAAGCCCCGGGCUCAACCCGGGAAGUGCACUCGAUACUGCCAAGCUAGAGUAUCGGAGAGGUUGGUGGAAUUCUCGGUGUAGAGGUGAAAUUCGUAGAUAUCGAGAGGAACAUCGGUGGCGAAGGCGGCCUUCUGGACAGCGACUGACGCUGAGACGCGAAAGCGUGGGGAGCAAACAGG
Molecule: ribosomal RNA, 253 nt
Filed under: uncultured bacterium
Lineage: Bacteria
Description: partial 16S ribosomal RNA
Rfam family: Bacterial small subunit ribosomal RNA
Source: RNAcentral